Molecule: long non-coding RNA, 2713 nt
Organism: Anser cygnoides (Swan goose)
Lineage: Eukaryota; Metazoa; Chordata; Aves; Anseriformes; Anatidae
Source: Ensembl
GGCGAACAUCGAUCAACACCCUCAGAUCCUUUUCCUCUGCACAGCUUUGCAGCCACUCUGCCCCAAGCCUGUAGCACUGCAUGGGUUUCUUGUCACCAAAGUGCAGGACCCAGCACUUAGCCAUCUUGAACCUCAUCCCAUUGGCUUCUGCCCAUUGACCCCUCCUGUUCAGGUCCCUCUGAAGGGCCUUCCUACCCUCUGGCAGAUUGAUACUUCUCCCCAACUUGGUGUUGUCUGUAAACUUGCUGGGGGUGCACUCAGUUCCCUCAUCGAAAUCAUCAAUAAAGAUAUUAAAGAGCAUGGGCCCCAACACUGAUCCCUGGGGAACACCACUGGUGACCAGUCGCCAGCUGGAUUUCUCUCUGUUCACCACCACUCUUUGGGCCUGGCCACCCAGCCAGUUUUUAACCCAGCAAAGAGUGUGCCUGUCCAAGCCAUGGGCUGCCAGCUUCUCCAGGAAAGUACUGUGGGAGAUUGUUUCAAAAGCUUUGCUGAAGUCUAGGCAGACUACAUCAGCAGCCUUUCACUCAUCCACCAGGCAUUUCACCUGAUCACAGAAGAUGAGGUUGGACAGGCAGGACUUGCUUUUAUUGAACCCAUUCUGACUGGGCCUGAUCCUCAGGUUGUCCCUCACAUGCUGCAUGAUUGCAUUCAAGACAACCUGUUCCAUCACCUUUCAUGGCACCAAGGUCAGACUGGCAGGCCUGUAUCACAGAAUAAUUAUAGAAUCAUAGAAUGGCUUGGGUUGGAAGGGACCUUAAAGAUCAUCCAACUCUGUUUUUCAUUGUAUUUUGUUCCUGUGUUCUUUUUAGGAGGGGGAGUGAGAGAGCAGUGUUGUGGAGUUUAUCUGUUCAUCAAUAUGAAACCACCACAUCCUCACACACCAGAAUCCUCCACAGGUGGGAGAAGAUGGCUUUUGUUUCACCUCCUGCUGCUCCCAGGGAACUCUACAGCAGUUGCUGGGAUCACUGUAAGAACUGCUGGUGUCUAUGGAAACAAACCCGCACAGUGAAUGCCAACAGGCCUGGCUGUUUCAAUAGCUGCACCCUGCCGGACAGAGGGUAAUUGCUCUCUUUAACUACCCAGUGUGGGGAGCUACAGAUAAGACGGAGCCAAACUCUUCUGGAGGUGCACAGGAGAAGGAGAAGACAAUGCUUACAUAUGCUUGGUUGUAAAUUAUGGUUGCGAGUGAAUUAUUGCAUGUGGAAAUUAUGGCUAAAUUUAACAAAAAUGUCCAUGCAGUGAAAGCAGCUGAGCACUGGAGCAGACUGGGAAAUUUCAGUCCCUGUAGAGGAGUUUUGAAACUCAGCUGGACAAGACCCUGAACAGCCUCAUCUGGUGGAGCCCUGCUCUGUGCAAGAGAUUGAACUUGAAGCCUCCCUUCCAACUUGAGUUACUGUAUGACCGUGAUAUUAACAAAGGGAAAACUAAUUGCAGGAAUGUGAAAUAAUGCAGCAAGGGACACUGUAACAGAAAAUGGGUUCCUGUAAGGAUGACACAUUGAUCAGCACAGAUUUCAUUAUCGAGGGAAACAUAAGUUCUCUGAAAUGACUAGAAUGAACUCUGUGAAGACUUAGGGCUCUUGAAACUGUGCCGUAUGUACCAGGUGGGAUUCUCUGAGGUUCUUCAGAAUCAAUUGCUAGAAUUUUGACUGAGGGAUCUCUCCUGCAUUUGGAGACACCUUAAAUACCUUGGAAUAUGUUUGGGAAUCAUUACUCAUGCAACAACUUGACUGAAGCAACUAUGUUUUGAAAAAACAUCAGUCUUCCCAAUCAUACUGGCUUUUGAGUAAAAUUUAGUAAAAUUUUCCAGGAAAAAUAUUUCAUGUGAAAGCAUCUAUCCCAUUAUUUACUACUUUAAGACUGUUAUCUUAGGUUGACUGAUUUUUUUUUCAUUUUUUUUUUCCUUCUUUUUCUCAAACAUGUAAUUCUCCUAAAGAAUGUGUCUGUGGAAAAUCUGAGCUUGCAAACAUAAUACCUCCUCUACCAUUUGUUUUCUUCAUUAAAGCAACACAAAAGCCAAUGUCAUCUUGUUUGAGGGACAAAACCUUCUGGACUCAUAUUGUAAGCCAAGCCCUUUGGAAAAAUUUGGUAUUUGGGCAUCAGUUCUGUCCUCUGUGUCAAAAAGUCACAUGCAUGGAUGUUUCUGUGUCUCUGUGAAAGAUUUGGGCCUUUACAGAUUUAUUUAUUUUUUUCCCAGAAAGUCUUUAUUUUAGUUGUUUUCUUAUUCAUUAUGAUAGUUAGGAUAUAGAUUCAGAAGGACAGUGUAGGCAUCUUAAAUUUCCUAGGCCCUAGUCUGCUGAAGCCUAGGUUACAUUCAGGCGAAUGUCCUCAUAAAGACUAACUUACAGUAUAGAAGUAAAUUUUACUUCACAGUCUGCUGACUUUUGUUCUCUAAGAUGAAUUGUGAGCACACACAACUAAAAGUGGCCGUCAGGAUGAGUCCAGAGCAAAAUUUGACCUCUGUCUACAGUGUGUGGCUCUCAGAGUUGUCUUUUAGGAUCAUUCUGAAAUGCUUUAAGUAAUGGCCAAAAUCUGAUCGAAGUUGAGAAAGUUUUGUGACUAGCUUUAAGAGGCUGAGUAAUGGUAGGAAAUCAUUUUGAGGAUCCCACUCACUUGUAUUUUGGGACCGACUGUUACUGGUGGAUCGAAGCAGAAAGCAAUUACGGAUAUUUUGGAAAGCUGAGAAUAAAUUCUCUCUUCAACCUUGUUCA